RNAcentral lists this ribosomal RNA (609 nucleotides) under Microsporum canis. RNAcentral's name for it is "eukaryotic LSU rRNA". It matches the Rfam family "Eukaryotic large subunit ribosomal RNA", at positions 44 to 662 of the family's 3401-position model. Lineage: Eukaryota; Fungi; Ascomycota; Eurotiomycetes; Onygenales; Arthrodermataceae. The record is from RNAcentral.
CAAUAAGCGGAGGAAAAGAAACCAACAGGGAUUGCCCCAGUAACGGCGAGUGAAGCGGCAAGAGCUCAAAUUUGAAAUCUGGCCUCCCUUGGGGGGUCCGAGUUGUAAUUUGUAGAGGAUGCUUCGGGUGUGGCCGCCGUCUAAGUUCCUUGGAACAGGACGUCGUAGAGGGUGAGAAUCCCGUCUUGGGCGGCCGGUCCGCGCCCGUGUGAAGCUCCUUCGACGAGUCGAGUUGUUUGGGAAUGCAGCUCUAAGCGGGUGGUAAAUUUCAUCUAAAGCUAAAUACUGGCCGGAGACCGAUAGCGCACAAGUAGAGUGAUCGAAAGGUUAAAAGCACCUUGAAAAGGGAGUUAAACAGCACGUGAAAUUGUUGAAAGGGAAGCGCUUGCGGCCAGACUCGAGGGGCGGGGUUCAGCGGGUGCGCGUCACCCGUGCACUCCCCGUCCCCCCGGGCCAGCAUCAGUUUCGACGGCCGGUCAAAGGCCCCCGGAAUGUGUCGUCUCUAGGGACGUCUUAUAGCCGGGGGUGCAAUGCGGCCCGCCGGGACUGAGGAACGCGCUCCGGCUCGGAUGCUGGCGUAAUGGCCGUAAGCGGCCCGUCUUGAAACAC